This 418-nucleotide ribosomal RNA is filed under the name uncultured bacterium. RNAcentral's name for it is "bacterial SSU rRNA". It matches the Rfam family "Bacterial small subunit ribosomal RNA", at positions 358 to 773 of the family's 1533-position model. The record is from RNAcentral.
GGAAUAUUGGUCAAUGGACGAAAGUCUGAACCAGCUAUGCCGCGUGGAGGAUGAAGGCCCUCUGGGUUGUAAACUUCUUUUAUAUGGGACGAAAAAGGGACUUUCUAGUCCAACUGACGGUACCAUGUGAAUAAGCACCGGCUAACUCCGUGCCAGCAGCCGCGGUAAUACGGAGGGUGCAAGCGUUAUCCGGAUUCACUGGGUUUAAAGGGAGCGUAGGUGGGUUGGUAAGUCAGUGGUGAAAUCCCCGAGCUUAACUUGGGAACUGCCAUUGAUACUAUCAGUCUUGAAUACCGUGGAGGUCAGCUGAAUAUGUCAUGUAGCGGUGAAAUGCUUAGAUAUGACAUAGAACACCAAUUGCGAAGGCAGCUGGCUACACGAAUAUUGACACUGAGGCACGAAAGCGUGGGGAUCAAAC